AGUGUACAUAGGCAGAUGCUCUCAGC
RNAcentral lists this non-coding RNA (26 nucleotides) under Mus musculus (house mouse). The record is from RNAcentral. Lineage: Eukaryota; Metazoa; Chordata; Mammalia; Rodentia; Muridae.